GACGAACGCUGGCGGCGUGCCUAACACAUGCAAGUCGAACGGAGAUUAUAGCAAUGUAAUCUUAGUGGCGGACGGGUGAGUAACGCGUGGGCAACCUACCUCUAACCGGGGGAUAACACAGGGAAACUUGUGCUAAUACCGCAUAAGAUCAUAGGAGGACAUCCUCUAGUGAUCAAAGGAGAAAUCCAGUGAGAGAUGGGCCCGCGUCCGAUUAGCUAGUUGGCGGUGUAACGGACCACCAAGGCGACGAUCGGUAGCCGAACUGAGAGGUUGAUCGGCCACAUUGGGACUGAGACACGGCCCAGACUCCUACGGGAGGCAGCAGUGGGGAAUAUUGCGCAAUGGGGGAAACCCUGACGCAGCAACGCCGCGUGAAGGAUGAAGGUUUUCGGAUUGUAAACUUCUUUGAUGAGGGACGAAAGAAAUGACGGUACCUCAAAAACAAGCCACGGCUAACUACGUG
Molecule: ribosomal RNA, 463 nt
Filed under: uncultured bacterium
Lineage: Bacteria
Description: bacterial SSU rRNA
Rfam family: Bacterial small subunit ribosomal RNA
Source: RNAcentral